This 253-nucleotide ribosomal RNA is filed under the name uncultured bacterium. RNAcentral describes it as "partial 16S ribosomal RNA". It matches the Rfam family "Bacterial small subunit ribosomal RNA", at positions 524 to 776 of the family's 1533-position model. The record is from RNAcentral.
CACGGAGGAUGCAAGCGUUAUCCGGAAUUAUUGGGCGUAAAGCGUCCGCAGGUGGUUUCUCAAGUCUGUGGUCAAAGACAGUGGCUCAACUGCUGAAAGGCCAUGGAAACUGUGAAACUAGAGUUCGGUAGGGGUAGAGGGAAUUCCCAGUGUAGCGGUGAAAUGCGUAGAGAUUGGGAAGAACACCAGUGGCGAAGGCGCUCUACUGGGCCGAAACUGACACUGAGGGCCGAAAGCUAGGGGAGCGAAAGGG